UACGGGGGGGGCAAGCGUUGUUCGGAAUUACUGGGCGUAAAGGGCUCGUAGGUGGCCAACUAAGUCAGACGUGAAAUCCCUCGGCUUAACCGGGGAACUGCGUCUGAUACUGGAUGGCUUGAGUUUGGGAGAGGGACGCGGAAUUCCAGGUGUAGCGGUGAAAUGCGCAGAUAUCGGGAAGAACACCCGUGGCGAAGGCGGCUCUCUGGGACGGUACUGACGCUGAGACGCGAAAGCGUGGGGAGCGAACAGG
Molecule: ribosomal RNA, 253 nt
Filed under: uncultured bacterium
Lineage: Bacteria
Description: partial 16S ribosomal RNA
Rfam family: Bacterial small subunit ribosomal RNA
Source: RNAcentral